AUGGCGGAGGAGGGCCACCCGUCCCGCUACGUCAAGCUCACCAAGGACCAGGACGCCCCCGGCGAGGACAUCCGCCCCGGCGAGCUCAACCAGCCCGUCCACGUCCCCCAGCUCGAGGGCCGGAGGUGCGGCGAGUGCGGCCAGGUCCUCCCGGAGAGCUACGAGCCGCCCGCCGACGAGCCGUGGUCCACCGGGAUCUUCGGGUGCACCGACGACCCCGAGAGCUGUCGCACUGGAUUGUUCUGUCCUUGCGUGCUGUUUGGGCGCAACGUUGAGGCCCUCAGAGAGGAUAUCCCUUGGACAACGCCUUGUGUUUGCCAUGCUAUCUUUGUGGAAGGAGGGAUUACACUUGCAAUCCUGACAGCAAUAUUUCAUGGUGUUGACCCAAGAUCAUCAUUUCUUAUUGGAGAAGGUCUGAUGUUUAGUUGGUGGCUGUGUGGUACCUAUACUGGCAUUUUCCGUCAAGAACUCCAGAAGAGAUAUCAUCUCAAGAACUCCCCAUGCGACCCAUGCAUGACCCACUGCUGCCUGCACUGGUGCGCCAACUGCCAGGAGCACCGCGAGAGGAGGGGCCGCCUGGCCGACCACAGCGCCGUGCCCAUGACCGUCGUCAACCCGCCCCCCGUGCAGGAGAUGAGCAUGUCAGAGAACCGCGACGCCCCCGCCCCUGCCAACCCAGAAAACGGAUCAUCCAACAAGGCCGAGCUUGAAGCGCGCAACAGCGAUCACGACGCCGUCGACGUCAUCCCCCUAUAG
RNAcentral lists this ribosomal RNA (756 nucleotides) under Triticum aestivum (bread wheat). RNAcentral describes it as "partial small subunit ribosomal RNA". Lineage: Eukaryota; Viridiplantae; Streptophyta; Magnoliopsida; Poales; Poaceae. The record is from RNAcentral.